AACGAACGCUGGCGGCAGGCUUAACACAUGCAAGUCGAACGGGCGUAGCAAUACGUCAGUGGCAGACGGGUGAGUAACACGUGGGAACCUUCCUAGGGGUACGGAACAACUCAGGGAAACUUGAGCUAAUACCGUAUACGUCCGUGAGGAGAAAGAUUUAUCGCCCUUAGACGGGCCCGCGUCGGAUUAGCUAGUUGGUGGGGUAACGGCCUACCAAGGCGACGAUCCGUAGCUGAUCUUAGAGGAUGAUCAGCCACACUGGGACUGAGACACGGCCCAGACUCCUACGGGAGGCAGCAGUGGGGAAUUUUGGACAAUGGGGGCAACCCUGAUCCAGCCAUGCCGCGUGAGUGAAGAGGGCCUC
This 364-nucleotide ribosomal RNA is filed under the name uncultured bacterium. RNAcentral's name for it is "bacterial SSU rRNA". It matches the Rfam family "Bacterial small subunit ribosomal RNA", at positions 29 to 418 of the family's 1533-position model. The record is from RNAcentral.